Molecule: ribosomal RNA, 253 nt
Filed under: uncultured bacterium
Lineage: Bacteria
Description: partial 16S ribosomal RNA
Rfam family: Bacterial small subunit ribosomal RNA
Source: RNAcentral
UACGUAGGGGGCUAGCGUUGUCCGGAAUCAUUGGGCGUAAAGCGCGCGUAGGCGGCCCGGUAAGUCCGCUGUGAAAGUCCAGGGCUCAACCCUGGAAAGCCGGUGGAUACUGCCGGGCUAGAGUCCGGGAGAGGCGAGUGGAAUUCCUGGUGUAGCGGUGGAAUGCGCAGAUAUCAGGAGGAACACCUAAGGCGAAGGCAGCUCGCUGGAACGGUACUGACGCUGAGACGCGAAAGCGUGGGGAGCAAACAGG